UACGAAGGGGGCUAGCGUUGUUCGGAUUUACUGGGCGUAAAGCGCACAUAGGCGGAUCGUUAAGGUCGGGGGUGAAAUCCUGGAGCUCAACUCCAGAACUGCCUUCGAUACUGGCGAUCCUUGAGUCCGGAAGAGGUGAGUGGAACUCCUAGUGUAGAGGUGGAAUUCGUAGAUAUUAGGAAGAACACCAGUGGCGAAGGCGGCUCACUGGACAGUGACUGACGCAUGAGACGCGAAAGCGUGGGUAGCAAACAGG
RNAcentral lists this ribosomal RNA (256 nucleotides) under uncultured bacterium. RNAcentral describes it as "partial 16S ribosomal RNA". It matches the Rfam family "Bacterial small subunit ribosomal RNA", at positions 524 to 776 of the family's 1533-position model. The record is from RNAcentral.